UCUGCUACGUGUCACUCACCAGGUGCCAGGCAGGGCAUGCGGCCUCAGAGGCAGUGCAGGGAUGAAGAUAGAUCCCCGCCCUCCGGGAGCUCACAGGCUGGGGUGAACAGCCUUUCUCUCUUCUUCUUCUCCUGUGAAUCAGCUCGGGGUGGACCCCGUCACCGAGCAGCAACACGCGCUGUGGAACAUGGAGGAUGGUCAGGUCAGCUCUGACAGAGAGGGAAAAGGAGCUCGCAACGCUGAGGGUGGGUGGCCAAAAGUAUCACGUAGUGUGUGCUAUAGGAAUGCCUGUUCGCACUGCUCGACGCCCCGCCACACGAUAAAAGUUUACAGCACAGGAGCUGAGGCCCAGGCCUCCUCACAGGAGUUCCUUGGAGAGAGCGGGGAGUUAAUCUCAGAAGGCUUCCUGCAGGAGGCAGCCCUUAGGCAGCGUCACACCUCCUGA
Molecule: long non-coding RNA, 445 nt
Filed under: Suricata suricatta (meerkat)
Lineage: Eukaryota; Metazoa; Chordata; Mammalia; Carnivora; Herpestidae
Description: lncRNA (ENSSSUG00005023704.1)
Source: RNAcentral